This is a non-coding RNA of Anas platyrhynchos (mallard), 9267 nucleotides long. NCBI's taxonomy places the organism in Eukaryota, Metazoa, Chordata, Aves, Anseriformes, Anatidae. The record is from RefSeq and is a predicted model, not a curated record.
UAUAUAUAUAUAUAUAUAUAAUGCAUUGCAGUUCUUUACAGCGACUGAAAGGGAAAUGUGAAGUUGAAAAACCAGGCUACUGACUUCAGCUCCGUUUCAGUUCCUGUCUCUAGUACAGUAAGGUUUGGCUGAAGAUGAGAAGCUGGAACACUGCACGCUGGUCCCAGCCUCUGUUACUUUCAAUUCUGUACUGACAUUUGGCCAUCAGACUAUUGAGGUGGGUUUGGGGCUUUAAAUGCAAGGCCAUGAAAAGGUGCUAAGUGUCUGCACAUUGCUGGAUUGCAUCCUAGUACCCUGGGCCUGCUUGGGAGAGACUUUUACUUUUCCUCUAAACUCCACAGGAUCACGUAACUCAGGAUAACUCCAGAUUUUGUCUCUUCUGAGCAUGCCGGUUAGAAUUGAUAUGUAAAACCUUAAACACUCUGGAGCUCAACCAAUUAAGAACGAUAAUUACGAACUGGGUUGUAGUGAACUCCUAUUCACUUGCAGCAUUCUGCAGUCUAAAGUUUCUUCAGAGCAGAUGCAGGGAUAACACACCGGGGUGGGAACACUUCCUUUUUAAAUUACUAAGCAGCAUUAUUGUCUUAAAUGUAAAUUAGAUAAUUAGUGAGGUCAAGAGACCACACAAAAGAUUUUAUUGGUUUGAAUAAAAUGCAGCCUGGCAUCAACUCGUAUAGUAACAACCAGGUUUUCUGAGUAAGUAUGAAUCACCAGAUUAGAUGUAAUUUCACCUUGUGUCUCACUCAUGAAUCUACUGUGUUUCCAAUUUAUUAUAGGGCUGUAAUUAUUUAAAUGCAUCUUUGCUUGCUAUAGAUACAGUAUUACCUAUCCCAUUUCUACAUAAGGGUUUGGUUUGGUUUUCAUUUCUGCUCCGUCUUCAUUCUAUGCCUGAAUUUUCUUUGACUUUUCUCUCCUUAGUGCUUUGUUUCUUCUUUUCUCAUGGGGGUUUGCUUAGAAGUUAUGCAGACUCUUAAACAAUGUAAAGACAUGAAUUUAACAGAUUGUAAAUUACAAAGCUUGAGUUGCCUUUUUGGCUAUUGCCCAUGUGUUUUGGCUUUUACUACCUGUUUGGCAUGCACUACUUUUUCAUUCAGAUGUAAGCAGCACUACUGAAGUGAAAAGGCUGUGGCUGUGUGUUAAUAGUAAUGCUUCAGGUGUUCACUCACUGAAUUCUUGCGGUAGGGGCUGUAGAUCCUCUCAUCAAAAAGAAACUAUUACUUUCCCGAUUAUAUUCAGAGUAGAUAAGACAAAUGACGAGAGUAAAGAUGAUCCGGAUCGUGCACAAGGGGAGCAUGGGUAUUGGGAAGAUGAGGUGAUAACAUGUGCAAAGUUUAUAGUGAGUUGGAAAUUGAACCCAAGUCACCUCGUUCCCGUUUCAGCACAUUACAAGUCAGGAUUACCUCCCAUUGCCAUGGCAGGUAUAUUCCUUCAGGUUUCCCCACCCUCCAUUUUGUAUUGGCAGGGUUGCUGCAGACUGCUUUAAAUAACAGCAUGUAAAUUUUUACCUGAAGAGAUCAUGGAAAAUUUUAAAUAGAUCCUUAUUUUCUGGGCAAUGUGGUUAGAAAAGCAUUGUCUCUCCUUUAUUUACACAUGAGAGACAGGGCUCCUGCCAGCCAGCCACGGGAGCAGCAGCCUCUCACAAGCGCAGUGCCCGGUGAGGUGUGUAAAGCAGCAGAGCUGGGAGAGAAGGCAGGGAGGACUGGCUCUGCCAGUAGGGAGAGGCAGCUGAAUAAACCGAGUGCUUUGUGCCAUGGCAGGACUUGAAUCAUGGGCCACGCAAAGCAGACACAGGCACAGAGCGCAGUUAGCACCCACCGGUUAUUAAGAAAUAUCUGCCCACAGAUACGAGGGGGGCAGAGUUGGUUUUUGUUUCAUUCUUCCCAGUCCGUGAGGUUGCAGCUUCCUGCUCUUACAUGGACCAUGCCCCUCUCAGGCUAGACGUGUGGCACGAGGCUGAUGUGAAGCCUCAGCUGUUUUCAUUCCUCUCCAGAGCAGUACAGCACCUAGCUUUAGCAGGUGUGCGGGAUGUCCUUGUCACAGUGGGUGUUUGGUGCACUUGAUGAGAUAGGCAAAUGUUAUUAUCUUGCAUUUUAUAGACAGUUAUUGCAGCACAGAGUAAACAAGCGCCAGAGCCUCCAAGGUACUUUGAUGCCUGACUCUAAAUGGUUUCAGGGUCAUGCAGGCCCAGCAUAUUUCUGUGGCUCGAGGCCGAGGUGCAUCUGUGCAUUGACACUGGCUGCGUAGACUGUCACAGGCAGUGCAGGGAUUGCUGGUCCCUGGCUGGUGGCUUAACCGCUGGACCAGGCUGCCUUUCCUAAUCUUUUGUUCAGAUCUCUGCUUCCAACCUGUCUGUUCUGCAGGAUGAAAACCACUGUGGUUUUAUGCUGAAGCAGUACCUCCAAGCCUCAAAAGAUUCAGUGCUCCUUGGGUACGGGAGGUCUGCCUUGUUGAACCUAAGCCUUGUGGGAACAUGAAGCCCGAGUUACAGUGCUAGGUGAGCAAUAUUCAGCACACAGCCACCCCAAACCACUUCACUGCCUAAAUACUGUGCUGUGGGAUCGCCGUGUAAAUAGCACAAAUAGCCAGCAAAUGUGGCAUUUUCAGGCGGUGUUUUGCAGGAAGAUCUUCAGGAAAGGACUGACACAUUAAAUACUGAAGUAAAGACAGAAGUGUUUCUACAAACUGUUUCAUCAUUAAUACAUGUACAUAUUACAUAUGAAUAUAUAUAUAUGUAUGUGUGUGUGUAUAUGUGUGUAAAACCAGAGUUUAAUAAGGGCAAAGAUGAAUUCUAGGUAAUUAGCAGACCAGAUUUUGCCUGGGUUAGAGAAUUCUUAUGAAGAUGUGUGCUAAAUUUUCUGUUUGUUGCCAUGUGAUUGACUUUAAAAAGUGAGCAAAGUUAUCAUUCCCUCACUUUGACUCUGCCUGUGAAUUAGAAAAGACAAAUGGUAGAUAUUUUUGUUGGGGAUUUAGAAAAAAAAAGAAAAAGCCAACAGGGCACAGAGUAUCUCUGUUCCCUCCCACUGCAAGGUUUAUUGAUGCUGUCUGCAGAUUUGUGUUUGCUUUACUGCUGGUAGUUAGAGCUGGUGAUCAAAGGCUAGUAUAGCCGAACCCAUGAAGGGACAUAAUUGGUUGGACUCUUUGAGUCCUCUGUAACAAUACUCAGUUUUGUUGUGUUAGGCAGGGCUCCACAAAGUAUAAAACAUUGUAUGAUUGCUGGGGCAGUCGCUCAAAUGUUUUCUUCUCGUCUCAAUUCCUUUUAUACAGGAAACCAAUAUAGCUGGGAGCCCAGGGAUGAAAGCUUUAAACCUGGAGGGUGCCUGGUGCUUCCUGAGAAUCUCACAGGGGAAACGUUCAGUCCCAAAACAGCUUCGCUGACAGAUAUAUUUUUUAUAGCCUAUUAUUUUCUCUCCUCAUUCUUUGUUUCAUUUGAAUAUAAUAGGCUCUUUAUUUUUAACUGCUCGUCUGUUCCUGCCGUUUAUAUCCUCACCCAAAUAUCAUAAUUCUUGUUUCUUUUCUUUCUUUCUUUUGUUUUGUUUUGUUUUUGACAUCACAUUUGGUUACUGUUGAACAUAUGUGCUACAAUGCCUGUAUAGAAGGGACAUUGUUUAUUUUUCUGAGUAAUAAAUUUUCUAUUUUCCUCUCUGUCUUUUCAAAAGAAUCCCAUAUUUCAAUUUGAACCAAAGGAUAUAGCCCUAUUUAUAGGUUUUGAAUUUUGGCAGUGAUGUAAGUGUGUUAUGUGGUUGUAUGACUUCAUGAGAGGGAAGAAAAAAAGGAAUUGUAGAUGAAUAUGUGAAAGUGUCAUUUUCCUUUUUAUUUCUCUAAUACAUGAGGUGGAGAAAAUAGUUAUGAUGCUGCUUCUCCUGGCUGUAGCUGGUGUAUUCUCAGGGGACCACUCCAGGGUUCCAGCAAAGAAGCUGGCCAUGUCCUUGAGCUACUGAUGCAAUUUUACAGUGGAUUCAAACAUGAGCAGACUCAAAUGCAGGGUCAUCUGAGGCAGUCACUACCCACGCUUACACAGAUGACGUUUUGGGCAGAGUGUGCAUCACGUCAGCAUUUUGAGCAGUGUGCAUCUCUGCAGAAGUGGUGCAGGUCUGUUGAGCUGCCCAGCCGGCGUGGCUCGGCCAGGAGAGUCGUGGGUCUGAAGCAUCAUGCAGCUCUUCCUCUCCAUCACGUAAGGCAGGGGCCUUGCCAGCUCUGUUUACACUGGCAUCUCCUGGGCAGUUUUCCCAUUCUGCUUCAGCUGCUUCCCUCAGCACAGCCUAUUAUGGGCUUACUUCUGCACUGAAGUAAAGUAUAAAGAGGAAUGAUAACAUUUAGCUGCCCCACUGGUUCGUGCGCUGGUGUUCACCACAGCUUUUGAGGAUCCCUCCUCCUUCAGAUGUGUUCACUCAGUCACGCUGCUGGAGAAUUAUGAAGUUGGGAGGAAUCUUGGUAGUCCUCAGUUGUUACAGUGCUGUAAGGAUGUACAACUUGGCCUACUGGCAUUCUUUGCAGUGACAUUCUCUUUCAGACCAGUAAGACAAUGAAGGCAACAGUUGUAUGCUUGCUCAGUAAGCAGGGAAGAAGACUUUUAAGGCAUCCUUAUAAGGUGGAGGCAUGUAUCGUGUAAUAAAAUGAUUCAGAGGAGCAUUUCAUCACUUUGAUUAGGGAGGUUACUGCCAGAGUAAACUGAAAUUGGAGGUGGUUUAUGUUAAUGCUGCAGCCUGCAGACUGCACUUGCUCAGGAGUUUAUCCAGCAGGAUCAGCUGAUCCCGCUACAGGAUGGUGACCUCUGGCAGAGACACAGGACAGAGACAGCUGCUUCAGCUCUCCCAACUAAACCUGCUUAAGGCGACCCUGCUGUCUCUGAUCUUGAAGCGCUUUGCAAGCAUGAGUAAGCACAGCUCCACACGAGCCCGGUGAUGAGGCAAUACAGCGGUUCCCAUAGUACGAGCGGUAAAUCUGAGAUGCAAAGACCUGCCAAAAGGAAGCCUGUGGCUACACCUGCAUCGUAUCUGAACUGAUCUUGGGAGCGGUCUGGAGUCUGCAGUGCUCAUCAUGGCUUUGCUGCACUGAGUACAGGUUGCCUGUGAGUUCUACUUCCUGCAAGCUAUGGUGACAACAGUUUAUGAAAGACCCUUCCUUUGCUGUGAGGACAGACGGGAUACGUGGAAAUGAACAUACCAGACGAUGGGAGGCCAUGGCUGCUGGAGGGAGCCCCUCUGCAGGCUGAAACAAGGAAGUACUGGAAAAAACAUGAAAGAAGCUGAUGCCUUGUUGUUCUCAGGCCGAAGCCCUGAAUAUUAACCAGAUAUUGCAAAAGUUUCCUCAGAAGCCUCAUGGAAGAUUCAUAAUUCCCAGGAACUGGAAUUUCUUAGAAAAAGAUGCAGCUGAAUAUUGGAAGUUAUAUGACAAAACUUAAAUUUCAUCAUGUCUUGUUUACACAAGGACUCAGAUUGUGAAGCCUUCCUAGCAAGAUCCAUAUGCGAGUUCCUGGGGAUAUCAGAAAGUAAAGGUCAUGAGACUUGAAGCAAAACUUUCAAAUACUUUAGUAUUUUCUGAUAUUAUUUAUUACUAGAUUUUGUAAGCUGCCUUUUCCUGCAAAUAAGACACUGUCAUUUAUGCAUGUACUGCCAUGUGUCAUGAGCUUGGUUCUUCUGUACAUGAUCAAAUAAUGUUCCUGCAAGGAUUGCUCAUUUUCAUUAUUCCAGUUCUUUGAUGGGGAGGGUCUUUCUGUGUGACUUUGAGCCUCUUAAGUCCCUUUUGUUUUCUUCACUGAAGGCUAGCAGGGAUGCUAAAACAAGGGUGUAACUAUUCAUAUGUUUAAAUGGGGAAAAAAAGUUUAAUUUUUAAUAAAUCUCCUCAGAGACUGCUACUCCUCUGCCUAGCCAAGUGGUAGGCUUUCCCCAGAAAUGGUAGCUCUUCCAAGGUAAUGGUAGGUUUAUUGUGAUAAUGUGGGGCUGGAUUCAGAGUAGCCUCUGAACAGAAUCCUGCUGGUGCUAGUGGAAUCGGCUCCUUUUUCUGCAUGGGAGGCAAGGAGGAGAAGGAAAGGGCAUGGGAUCAAGGACAAAGCAGGAGGAGUCAAGUAGCACAUAACAGGACUGAACUUGGCCCAGAAACAGAAAUGUGAACCAGGACUCUCCUAAACACUCUGUCAAUGUUGUUUACGUGUGUAGGAGCUCAGGUACAGGAGCAGUGUCCUUUCUGUACAGGGGGCUACAAUAUACUUCCUAUAAGAGUUGAGGUAGAAAUGAAAGUGUAGUUUGCCCACACUACUGCUAAAAUAACUCUGCAAUAAAGGAGUCAGGGGGGCAAGGAGGACCUGAAUGAAAAUGAGCUGGUUGUUGAUUAGAACAUAAGUAGUGGGAUGUGAAUAAACCAGAAUGCUGCAUAAAACAACGAAUGCCACCAAGUGCACAAGAAAGACUGCAGUGUUGAUGGCACAACACAAUUGCAUUGUGUCUAGCAGAUGCCUGCUAUCCUACCACCUGAUGUAAAAUCUGAGAAGAGAUGAAAGGAUGGUGUCAGUAAGUGUUCUUUUUAGGAAAGUAAGACUAAUACUGAGUUAUUUACAUCUAUUUAAUGUAAUUUCCAAAAUAUAUUGUGUGUCUUGUAAGAUGAUAUGAGACAAAAGAAUAAAUCCAGCUUUUAAGCCUAAAAGAUUAAAAUGCUGUUUCUUCUGACCUUUUCUAGCUCUUCAACGUGUAUGUUACAUCGCUGAACACCAGGACCUGACCAAAUCCUCUUCAUGUCAGUGGGGGUGACUUCUGUUGACUUGACUGAAGUUUCUACAGGAGUGUGCCUGAUAGGAAUCAAGACAUUACCCACCAACUUUUAAACAUUCAUGUAUCAACCUGAAUUCUGAUCCUCGUUUUUAUCCUUUCAUGUCACAUACAAUAAUGCUGAGUGACUACUGUAUGCCCCAUCUGCAAGUGCUGUAGUUUGUUCUUAAUGGUUCUUCUAGUCUGUGCAAUGAUUUAUUAAGGUAUGUUCCACAUUGGAGAGAUUACAGAUCAGAAGUAGUCUGAUUAAAAUAUUUGGCAGGCUAUGUUUGCUUGAAGAUAUAUUAAGAGAAUGAUCUAAAACCCAAAAAUCACAACUCACUGUAAUGAGUAAAAUAGUUUUUCUUCUGAAGUUUCUAAGAACUUUGUCUAAGUUAUCCAUUUAACAUCUUCAAAGAUUUAAGAAAUUACAUAAACUCCUGGGUAUUUUCCCUUACAGCAAAUUCUAUGGUAAAUGAAUUCCAAAUAAAUCCUUCCUGUUUUUCCAUAUUUUGUUGUGUGUUAAGAUGAUAGCUAGCAUAUAAUGAUGCAUAGUUUGCUCUGUGGCUCGUUUACCUCUAAGAGAUAAGCUGACAUGAAAUUAAAACUGUAGCAAAACCUGAUAACCUAGAUGCAAAAUACUGCUCUUCAAAAAAUUAUGAAAGAUGCUAAUAACUUGGUCUGUAUCUGUAUGUAUAUCUGUACCCACCUGAAUUUAGGUGGCAUCAAGGCCACCUAAAAUUAUAAAGAGCUCUGAGUUGACUCAAGAUAUUUACCCAACUGCCCUUAAACUUGCGUUGCCUAGAUUCAGUGCAACAAACCUUGGAGCGUAUGGUCAUAGUUUAAAAGACUUCUGCAGUUCAUCAAGAAGCCAAGGCUUUGGCCAUGUGUCCUCAGAUGACUGAUUAAUCAUAUUUGUACACCUCUACAGAAAAAAAAAAUGAGUUUGUAUAGAGCACUAUGUAAAUAUUAAGUUUUAUGGUUAUUAUCUUUUCCUGACCAAAGUAAUCUGUUAAACUGUUAAAUUUACUAUUGAAUGUAUUUAGCAGGCACUCUAGAUCAGUGCUUGGGGGGGUCCCCUCCUCUGCAGCAUCUGAGGUCUUCACGUUACUUUAGAGAUCCUUCAAAUCUGGAACACGGUAUGGUCCUUUUUUAAGGGGAAGAGCUGAGAUUCGGUGUGCAUGCUAACCCAGCAUUAGUGCUGCUGUUUUAUGCUUUGCAGCAGGUACCUGGAGCUGCCCUGGGGUCCCUGUGCUGCACCCUGGUCUCCAGCAGGGCUGGCUGUAGGUGAAUUGACCAUGGUUGCAGAGGGGCACUGGGUGGAGAAUGCUUGUGGGGAAGCUUUGAUCUUUUCUCCUGAAGUAUGGCAUAGACUGACCCCACUAGGCAUCCACCAAGCCUGGAGGAGAGUCUUCCAGGUUAAACAUGGCUUACAAACUUGGUUUUGUUUGGGCUGGUAGCAAGGUUGGGAUGUUGUGGGCUGCCUGCCUGCAUGGGCUAAGAGGGCCUGGGGUGUGUUUGUUGGCCAUGUGCCUCCUCCCUGGCUGCUGGGGGCUUUUCAGGGAGUGAUGCUCCCAGCAGAGCCACUCUUGCACCUGCCUUGCCCUGGAACCAGGCAUUUCUGUCCUGUCUCAAUAGUCCUUGGUUUAAUAUGGUUGGCAAGUGUUUACAGAUUAUACCCUCUACUUAAUAGGUUUCUGUGACAGCUGUUUUGUCCAGCUAUCGUACUGAUGUAAAUGUUUUCACCCAAUGAUCCUUGGAUACCUACUAAUAUACUACACUUUCUCAUGUGUUUGAUGAUUGCUGUUUAUUUGCCUGAGAAACUUGCUGGAUUCAUAAAGCAUAUUUUUUCCACUCUGCUUCUGUUUCAGGGUAAUGUUUAAUCCCUUACCUGAAACAGCUUUUUCAUUCUCUUUGCUAUAAUAAAUUACUAAAUGGAAAGAAAUGGAUCUAAGCUCCGUUAGCUUAAACUCGACGAGCUUUUGUUUCGAGGCUGAACAGUGAAUCUUAGAAAGCUUGUUUUUCACUUGUCCUGAAACCUUCCCCUCCUGCCUCCCCCCUUUCAUGCCAAUAAAAGGUAACCAGAGACAGCUGGGGGCUCGCUCUCUGCCUCCUUUGAAUGGGAGCGUCUUCUCAAUGCCUCUUUCAUGUACCUGCAGAGACCCCGCUCCGCUCCCUGCAGCGACCGAGGUUCUCAGAGGUUGAAUAGGUUUUCAUUGCCCGCAUUUCUGGUCUGAAGCAGACUGAGAGAAAUGAGUGCUAAGUAAACGCGGUGGCAGUCGUGCCCGUGUCAGCAUUCCUGCCCGCCACCACUUGUGCCGGCAGCGUAGCACCGUCGGCAUGGGCUUCUGCACAGCCAGCUGCGGGGUGUUUCAUGUGCCAGCAGCUGAGGAGGGGUGCGAAGCAAAGCAAGGAGUGGAGAGUCUAAUUUUUAUGAGGCUGUUUAUUCUUUCUGUAACAAGUGUGUGGUGCCCGACUGAUGUUGAAUGGGAAUUUAAUGCAGUGAUAAAGUAAAACUAUAAACUUA